RNAcentral lists this ribosomal RNA (253 nucleotides) under uncultured bacterium. RNAcentral's name for it is "partial 16S ribosomal RNA". It matches the Rfam family "Bacterial small subunit ribosomal RNA", at positions 524 to 776 of the family's 1533-position model. The record is from RNAcentral.
UACGUAGGGUGCGAGCGUUGUCCGGAAUUAUUGGGCGUAAAGGGCUCGUAGGCGGUUUGUCGCGUCGGGAGUGAAAACCUCGGGCUUAACUCGGGGCUUGCUUUCGAUACGGGCAGACUGGAGGUAUGCAGGGGAGAACGGAAUUCCUGGUGUAGCGGUGAAAUGCGCAGAUAUCAGGAGGAAUACCGGUGGCGAAAGCGACUCUCUGGACGGCAACUGACGCUGAGGCACGAAAGCGUGGGGAGCAAACAGG